UACGGAGGGGGCUAGCGUUGUUCGGAAUUACUGGGCGUAAAGCGCACGUAGGCGGCUUUGUAAGUUAGAGGUGAAAGCCCAGGGCUUAACCCUGGAAUUGCCUUUAAGACUGCAUCGCUAGAAUCGUGGAGAGGUGAGUGGAAUUCCGAGUGUAGAGGUGAAAUUCGUAGAUAUUCGGAAGAACACCAGUGGCGAAGGCGGCUCUCUGGACCGUAACUGACGCUGAGACGCGAAAGCGUGGGGAGCAAACAGG
Molecule: ribosomal RNA, 253 nt
Filed under: uncultured bacterium
Lineage: Bacteria
Description: partial 16S ribosomal RNA
Rfam family: Bacterial small subunit ribosomal RNA
Source: RNAcentral